Molecule: ribosomal RNA, 441 nt
Filed under: uncultured bacterium
Lineage: Bacteria
Description: partial 16S ribosomal RNA
Rfam family: Bacterial small subunit ribosomal RNA
Source: RNAcentral
CCUACGGGAGGCAGCAGUGGGGAAUAUUGCACAAUGGGGGGAACCCUGAUGCAGCGACGCCGCGUGAGUGAAGAAGUAUUUCGGUAUGUAAAGCUCUGUCAGCAGGGAAGAAGAAAGACGGUACCUGACCAAGAAGCCCCGGCUAACUACGUGCCAGCAGCCGCGGUAAUACGUAGGGGGCAAGCGUUAUCCGGAUUUACUGGGUGUAAAGGGAGCGUAGACGGCAGGGCAAGUCUGAAGUGAAAGGCAGGGGGACAACCCCUGGACUGCUCUGGAAACUGUCCGGCUAGAGUGCAGUAGAGGUAAGUGGAAUGCCUAGUGUAGCGGUGAAAUGCGUAGAUAUUAGGAGGAACACCAGUGGCGAAGGCGGCUUACUGGACUGUAACUGACGUUGAGGCUCGAAAGCGUGGGGAGCAAACAGGAUUAGAUACCCGAGUAGUC